This 87-nucleotide small nucleolar RNA is filed under the name Jatropha curcas. RNAcentral's name for it is "Small nucleolar RNA snoR27". It matches the Rfam family "Small nucleolar RNA snoR27". Lineage: Eukaryota; Viridiplantae; Streptophyta; Magnoliopsida; Malpighiales; Euphorbiaceae. The record is from Rfam by way of RNAcentral.
GCUGGAUCAAUGAUGUUACUGGUAUACUGCGUUAUCUAUCUGCAAAUUAUUUGAAUUGAAGAUAGCUUUCAGACACUGAGAUCCAGU